GAAAUACUCCCUCCAUCCCGAAUUACUUGUCUUAAAUUUGUCUAGAUACGGAUGUAUCUAGACACGUUUUAGUGUUAGAUACAUAUGUAUCUAGACAAAUCUAAGAGAAGUAAUUUGGGACGGAGGUAAUACUUU
Non-coding RNA from Triticum urartu, 135 nucleotides. Lineage: Eukaryota; Viridiplantae; Streptophyta; Magnoliopsida; Poales; Poaceae. The record is from Rfam.